Molecule: ribosomal RNA, 253 nt
Filed under: uncultured Eubacteriales bacterium
Lineage: Bacteria; Bacillati; Bacillota; Clostridia; Eubacteriales
Description: uncultured Clostridiales bacterium partial 16S ribosomal RNA
Rfam family: Bacterial small subunit ribosomal RNA
Source: RNAcentral
UACGUAGGGGGCAAGCGUUGUCCGGAAUGACUGGGCGUAAAGGGAGUGUAGGCGGCCUUGUAAGUUAGAUGUGAAAUCCUACGGCUUAACCGUAGAACUGCAUCUAAAACUGUGAAGCUGGAGUGCAGGAGAGGUAAGCGGAAUUCCUGGUGUAGCGGUGAAAUGCGUAGAUAUCAGGAGGAACACCGGCGGCGAAGGCGGCUUACUGGACUGUAACUGACGUUGAGGCUCGAAGGCGUGGGGAGCAAACAGG